GAUUUCUGGUUUGUCCCAUACGGCCGGCCACGGUUUCGUGUGUUAGUGCUGUGUGGACUGACCAUCCUUCCCAGACUCGGAUCGUCGGCUUCAUUGCUGGCGAUCCGGACUGGGAUCGUUUACUUUGAAAAAAUUAGAGUGUUUCAAGCAGGCUGUACGCUAUGAAUACAUUAGCAUGGAAUAAUAAUUUAGGACUUCGGUUCUAUUUUGUUGGUUUCUAGGACGGAAGUAAUGAUUGAUAGGGAUAGUUGGGGGUGCUAGUAUUCAGCGGCCAGAGGUGAAAUUCUUGGAUUCGCUGAAGACUAACUUAUGCGAAAGCAUU
Molecule: ribosomal RNA, 322 nt
Filed under: uncultured Sandona
Lineage: Eukaryota; Cercozoa; Glissomonadida
Description: SSU rRNA
Rfam family: Eukaryotic small subunit ribosomal RNA (bases 113-322)
Source: RNAcentral